RNAcentral lists this long non-coding RNA (1512 nucleotides) under Mus musculus (house mouse). RNAcentral describes it as "predicted gene, 38642". Lineage: Eukaryota; Metazoa; Chordata; Mammalia; Rodentia; Muridae. The record is from RNAcentral.
GCCAAGAGGAGUUAUGCAAGCCUUGCAGAAAGAGGAUUGUUAUGCCAAGGUCGUGGAGUCCCCAGAGACCACCAGAGACCACCAGAAGUCCAACUCAUAUGCAAAAGCAAAGAGUCUUUAUUCAAGCUCAUGCUCAGACCCUCUGGUCUCUCCAGUGGACUGAAAGGUCCUGAGCAGGUGUAGGACAAGAGGCUGCUUCACAGCAGGUGAUUAUGAUUUGCCUCGUGAUCCAGCAGAGGUGUGGUUUUGCCAGCUGCAGAUAGUUUCUGCAAGUGUGUGACUUUUGGAAUUCAGUGAAGUUUUGAGAAGUAUAAAUGUCUGAAUGCCAGAAGAGGGAACGGGCACAGAGGAUGCUGAUGCUGGUGCUGAUGCUGGUGGUUUCCAUGGCUGCAGUUUGUCAAGUGACUGUGAGCAAAGAGAGAAGAAGAAAUUGGAUAUCCUGACAUUGAAGAUUGGACUUGCCCUAAGGAACUUGAUGCCCCUAAGCAGCAGGAAGUAGUCUAAAGAGGUCUAUGCCCCUUUCCUCUCUAAUCUUCUUUCUCUCCUACCUAGUGUUGGGAGGCUGGAAGGGAUCAGGGUGAAAUCAGGGUUGGAAGGGAGGUAAUAAAGUAGCGCAGAAAAGUCCACUUCCACAAAGAACUGGGGAGAUCAAUCCAUCAGUAAAGUACAAGAGCCUUAGUUUGGAUCCUGCCUCCCACUUUUAGGAAGGUAGAGAGAGGUGGAUCCUGGGACUCACUGGCCAGUCCAGGCUGGGUGAGUUAGUAAGUUCCAGAGAAAAAGGUUUUGGAGAGUCCUGACCCAAGAACCAAACUCACUGUUGACUACAUGUGCCGCCGUGUGGACACACAUGCAUGUACACACACAGACACAGACAGACAGACACCCCAUAAAAUAUAUAAAUAGAAAUUAAAAGAGUAUUAUUGGCAUGUCUUACUGAAAAUAUCUCUUUGCAUUUGGAGACUGUCUUAGGGUCUUUCUGCUGUAAACGGACACCAUGACCAAGGCAACUUUUUUAAGGACAACAUUUAAUUGGGGCUGGUUUACAGGUUCAAACGUUCAGUCCAUUAUCAUCAAGAUGGGAACAUGGCAGCAUCCAGGCAGGCAUGGUGCAGGAGGAGCUGAGAGCUCUACAUCUUCAUCUGAAGGCUGCUAGCAGAAUACUGUCUUCCAGGCAGCUAGGACUAGGGUAUUAAAGCCCAUGCCCACAGUGACACACCUACUCCAACAAGGCUACAUCACCAAAUAGAGCCACUCCCUGGGCCAAGUAUAUACAAAUUAUCACAGAGACCAAAAGAGUCGUGACUCAUUUCUUCAUGUUUCCAAACCAGAGCAGCACCAGACACACCUACAACCUCGGCACACCUGGAGUCCCAGCACAUCUGGAGCUCUGGAAUACCUGGAGCACCAAGGCUUGUUGCUAACACAACCUGAAGCUUUUCUGUUCUUCUCAUUCCCUCCCACUUGCUGUAUUUUUUUUAAAAUAAAUUCUCUUCUCUCACAAUUUUACCUCCA